UCCUACGGGAGGCAGCAGUAGGGAAUUUUCCACAAUGGGCGAAAGCCUGAUGGAGCAACGCCGCGUGCAGGAUGAAGGCCCUUGGGUCGUAAACUGCUUUUAUGUGCGAAGAAUAUGACGGUAACACAUGAAUAAGGAUCGGCUAACUACGUGCCAGCAGCCGCGGUCAUACGUACGAUCCAAGCGUUAUCCGGAAUUACUGGGCGUAAAGAGUUGCGUAGGUGGUUUAUUAAGUGGAGCGUGAAGGCGUGCGGCUCAACCGCAUUACUGCGUUCCAAACUGUUAGACUUGAGUAUGAGAGAGGUAGAUGGAAUUUCUAGUGUAGGAGUGAAAUCCGUAGAUAUUAGAAGGAACACCGAUGGCGUAGGCAGUCUACUGGCUCAUUACUGACACUGAGGCACGAAAGCGUGGGGAGCAAACGGGAUUAGAUACCCCGGUAGUCCUAGCCCUAAACGAUGAAUACUUGGUGUCUGGAGUCUUUAAUGCUCCGGGUGCCGUCGCUAACGUUUUAAGUAUUCCGCCUGGGGAGUACGCUCGCAAGAGUGAAACUCAAAGGAAUUGACGG
This 565-nucleotide ribosomal RNA is filed under the name uncultured bacterium. Its description in RNAcentral is "bacterial SSU rRNA". It matches the Rfam family "Bacterial small subunit ribosomal RNA", at positions 337 to 916 of the family's 1533-position model. The record is from RNAcentral.